GGGGGCAUAGCUCAGCUGGGAGAGCACCUGCUUUGCAAGCAGGGGUCGUCAGUUCGAUCCGUCUGCCUCCACCA
Molecule: transfer RNA, 74 nt
Filed under: Burkholderia glumae
Lineage: Bacteria; Pseudomonadati; Pseudomonadota; Betaproteobacteria; Burkholderiales; Burkholderiaceae
Description: tRNA-Ala
Rfam family: tRNA
About the family: Transfer RNA (tRNA) molecules are approximately 80 nucleotides in length. Their secondary structure includes four short double-helical elements and three loops (D, anti-codon, and T loops). Further hydrogen bonds mediate the characteristic L-shaped molecular structure. tRNAs have two regions of fundamental functional importance: the anti-codon, which is responsible for specific mRNA codon recognition, and the 3' end, to which the tRNAs corresponding amino acid is attached (by aminoacyl-tRNA synthetases). tRNAs cope with the degeneracy of the genetic code in two manners: having more than one tRNA (with a specific anti-codon) for a particular amino acid; and 'wobble' base-pairing, i.e. permitting non-standard base-pairing at the 3rd anti-codon position.
Source: RNAcentral